CAUGGCCAGGAGGAGCUCGCUCUCCCUGCACUGCAGCUCCAGGGCUGGAGGAGUUCUGUGCCCCUGAUGAUUACUGGAUGGGGGGAGAGUGCCUUUGCUUCCCCCCCCCCCUGUUAUGCAAGCCCCUGUGGCUGAUAAGACCAUACAAUUUUCCUGUGUUUUUGUCAGCAGCGAGGUUGCAAGUGAGAGUCAGCACCAGAGAGAGAAGCUGAAUUUUCCAUCUUUGCUCUUCUUUUCUUUCCCCUUUUGUGUGUGUUUGCUUGUUUUGUGCUCUAGAAUACAGGACUGGACUUUAACAACAGCAAUGACAACAGCUGGAGCCCAUCUCAAUCAACUUCUCUUUUUUCCAAAAGCGGUAUCUAGAGACUCCUGCCACAAUUGGGGCCAUAUCGUGCUAGGUGAUGUAUAAGCACAUAAUAAGAGACAGUCCCUACCUCAAAUUGUCUAAAAUGACCAACUUGCCUUUCUGACUCUUCACUCUGACAACCCAUACUAAAUCACCAAAUUGCUUAUGGGAACUGGAGUCUAUAUAUUAAUAGGUUGUUCCGUUUUAUUUUCUGCAGAAGGGAGCUGUAUUUGCAAUAGCUUUCCUUCACUCAAAACCCUUUGUCAAAAGAAGAACAGCAAGCUGCAUCUUUAUAUAUGAAAGACAUUCUGUUAAAUUGGUGAGACUAUAAUUGUUUCGACGGAAGCAAAAGUUGGCUACAUGAUUACAGUAUUAGGGCUCAAUACGUGAAUACACAGAACAAAUGGCUCCCUAACUUAGCAGCCAAAGCUCCUACUCCAUGCCUGUUUCUUAAGACCCAUUCCCAGACUUAAAUGCCACCUGCCUAAAUGUUGGACCAAGCCUCCUAUGGAAGAACUCAGUCUCCUGACUUGAAAUGUCUGUUUGCAAUGAGCCCAGUCCUGAUGAUCUUACUCAAGCAAAACUCCCAUUGAAGACAUUUGGGACAAAUACAUCUCUGGUGUAACCUGGCAUGGAGAAAAUGGACUAACACCAGAUAUGCUUACUGCCAUUAUCGAUGCUAGGAAAAAAAAAAAAAACCCUGAACCUGUAAUGAGCUCAUAUUGAGUGAAUUCCUGCACACACACAAAGAGCUCAACUGUUUUAGCAAGGGUCCUUGCAAGUACAAGGUGCACCCAUUAAUUAGGGCCAGCUUCAUUAGUAAAAUGAACUUCUAAAGAGCAUCAAAUGGCAGCAGUUUUGUGCUUCCAGUCCAAAUAUCCUGCAAGGGGGUGGAUGAAAGAUUAGAGCAUUUCCACACUUCUGGAAGCAUAUUUUAUUAAACAGAAGCCUCAGGUGUUCAGUAAGUUAAGACAUUUCAUAUAUUAUAAUUGCACACAAACUGAGAAAAUACUGCCAUUGGAAUAUCAUAGGAGUUCAAAAACAAAAUUUUUAAGGGUGUCAUUUAACAAGCAUUUUAUGAGCACAUCCCUAUACUAAUUCCUGGACAAAAAUAUGAACAUAACACUUAAAAUGAUUCCAGUAUGAAUGGUGAAAGACCAUUUUGCUCCUUGCAGAUCAUAAAGCAAUCGUGUCCUAGAUUUCAUUAGCACAAUGCAACCAAAAAAGAAUAUGCACAUUGUAUGUUAUUCAAAGCACCCCUCCAAAAUCAAUAGACUAUAAGCCAAAUAAUCAUGCCUUUUUAUUUAUUUAAUCACUUUUGGUCAGAAUUACAUUUUCUCUCAGAGCAUAGCAGAACACAAGCCAUAUUGAUAACUCAUUGUAAACAUUUUACCAUGGCUUUAUAUAAAUAAAUUGCAGUGCUGUUACAAUGUCUUUAUUGCUGUUCUACUAUGAAGACUCCAGCAUGGAAGAAACAGUUAACAAUAUAUUAGUGUCUACAUAUGUUGUUAAGUCAUCAGAAAGCUGAACAUACAGACAUGCUGGAUUAAGUAAAAGUGAGGCAUCGCCAAAGGCCAAAUUCUUAAGUCCUUUCUCUGAAGUCAAUGGAAUGACAUCAGCAACUUGUUUGCAUAGCUUAGUUUAUGCAAAAAUGUGUCUGUAGUAGUGUUAGUUUUUUACUGGUUUAUAGUAAAUUCUUUAUUCAUUCUUGCUUGAAGAGGUAUAUUGUUAGAAUUUACAAUUUUAUGCUACCUGCAUACCUUUCAUUUCCAGGGAUGUCACUGAUUUUAGUCUCAAAGCUACCAAUGUUCCCCACAUAUCUGAUGUCUGUGCUUUUAUUGUUGAAAAUGAUUUACAUCAGAAAUAAAGAAUCA
Chrysemys picta bellii (western painted turtle) is the source of this 2220-nucleotide long non-coding RNA. RefSeq lists it as uncharacterized. The record is from RefSeq and is a predicted model, not a curated record. NCBI's taxonomy places the organism in Eukaryota, Metazoa, Chordata, Testudines, Emydidae.